GACGAACGCUGGCGGCGUGCUUAACACAUGCAAGUCGAACGAAGUGGCGAACGGGUGAGUAACGCGUAAUCACCCUGCCCUUCAGAGGGGGACAACAGUUGGAAACGACUGCUAAUACCGCAUACUGAAGGAGGGGUUUGCGUCUGAUUCGCUAGUUGGAGGGGUAACGGCCCACCAAGGCGAUGAUCAGUAGCCGGUCUGGGCGGAUGAACGGCACCAGUGGGACGGAGACACGGCCCAGAAUCCUACGGGAGGCAGCAGGAGGGAAGCUGCGGCAAUGGGGGGAACCCUGACCGAGCAACGCCGCGGGAGGGAUGACGGCCUUCGGGUGGUAAAGCUCUGUUAAUCGGGACGCGGUACCGGAAUAGAAAGCCACGGCUAACUACGUGCCAGCAGCCGCGGUAAUAC
This 408-nucleotide ribosomal RNA is filed under the name uncultured bacterium. RNAcentral's name for it is "partial 16S ribosomal RNA". It matches the Rfam family "Bacterial small subunit ribosomal RNA", at positions 28 to 526 of the family's 1533-position model. The record is from RNAcentral.